UACGUAGGAUCCGAGCGUUAUCCGGAUUUAUUGGGUUUAAAGGGUGCGCAGGCGGGAAAUUAAGUCGGCGGUGAAAUUUUGCGGCUCAACCGUAAAGUGCCUUCGAUACUGGUUUUCUUGAGUGUGGAUGAAGUAGGCGGAAUUUGUGGUGUAGCGGUGAAAUGCAUAGAUAUCACGAGGAACUCCGAUUGCGCAGGCAGCUUACUAAACCAUAACUGACGCUCAGGCACGAAGGCGUGGGGAUCAAACAGGAUUAGAUACCCGGGUAGUCCCUGAG
RNAcentral lists this ribosomal RNA (277 nucleotides) under uncultured prokaryote. RNAcentral's name for it is "partial 16S ribosomal RNA". It matches the Rfam family "Bacterial small subunit ribosomal RNA", at positions 524 to 801 of the family's 1533-position model. The record is from RNAcentral.